ACAGACCUGCCUGAGAAGCCCUGAUCUGGGACUCUCCUACAAACAGCCUGCUCAGAAGGGGCCUUCUCAUCCCAUGCCUACAACAUGAAAGCAGAAAUGCUAAAGAAAUGCACAUUGACUUCGGUGGAAGGGGGGAAGCCCCAUUUCAAAGGUGUGUCUGACACAACAAGUUGUGUCCAGGUGAUUGCUUUGAGAACAAGGCAGCUGGGGGCAGGUUGAGGUAGGGGCUGCUUGGCAGUACUAAGCCUCUGAAGAGACCAGAAGAGGAGACCCCAACAGACAAGACACAAGCAUAGGGUGCACCACAUAGAGGAGGGGCUCCUGCCUCCUCAUUCCUCCUCCAGUUGGACCUUAUCUGCCAGCGACACGGGCACACUGUGUGGGAGGCUGGCUGUGGCCUGUCCCGAUAAAACUCAGCUGGACCUGAAGAGCAGGUUCAAGGAUGACGUAAGGACAUGUGCACACCUCCUGACACCACAUGCAGGUCACUGUUGGAGGACAUCGUAAAGGGAGCAAUGCAGAGGAACUGGUAGCCGAGGAAGGCCACAAGGGUGUAAGGAGCUGCAAGUCUCUGGUGAAAUGACAAGUCAGCAAAGUGUUAAGUAUGCAGAAGAAAAGGUAGAAACAACACGUGGUUGGUGGUACCUGCACCAAAACACUACUGAACACAUGGCAAGUCACCAGUAUGAUCUGAACACAACCCUGAUGUCAUGCCCUCCCCCAGCUGACACUCUUGAGGGCCAGACCUCCUCUGAGACCAUCUUUGCCACGUCUACCCUGUAAAACCAGUGUUUUCCUUGCACUCUCCACUGUGUAACUCCUCAGAACCUGAAUGAUGCAAGUCUUAAUGAAAGACGCAGAAUGAGUGGCCCCAAGUGGCCCCCACUGGCCCCGUGCAACUUGUCAUGCAGUAAUAUUCAGGAAAGAAAAUAAAAAUACAAUUGAAGGAGGGUCUUACAAGAACGGCCCAUGGUUCAUGUGAAUGAUGAUCAUGACCUGGCACAAGCAGUUGCAAAGAACUGUCAGCUAGAGGAAAGGGGCACAGCUGGAAGCCAGGGAUGUGGACACAGUCACCCAGCCAGGGAGAAGGCAAACAAGGUGGGAUCCAUUAAGUUAACUUCAAGACUCCUGACUUCCAGACCCUUACCUGCACUUUUUGAAGUAACAGGUCUCCCUGGCUCCAGCGUUCUGAGAAUGAAGGAAAACUCCUGAGGCACAACUUCCCCUUACACUUUCUGCUGCCUGUAGACACAAGAGCCUCGGUCAGCCCAAUGCUCCAGGUGUCUGAAGAGACGAGCCUUCCUCUGCUAAAACUACCUGGGGCAGACAGCCUGUCCAGCAAUGUCUCUACAAGACUACUACUAUCAACUCAACAUGAUUCAGGGAAAUAAGAGGAAAGAAUGACUUGAUUAAAAAAGAGACCCUCACAGACCCCAAACCUGCAACCCUCCUGACCUGGAGCCCACUAUGCUUUGGGUCAUGGAAAUGCACCCCACAAGCUUGGCACAGCUACCAGGUUAUCCUCAAGAGAGCAUGAAGCUGGGGUGCGUGGGUGGCUCAGUGGGUUAAGCUGCUGCCUUCGGCUCAGGUCAUGAUCCCAGGGUCCUGGG
This is a long non-coding RNA of Neogale vison (American mink), 1610 nucleotides long. RefSeq lists it as uncharacterized. The record is from RefSeq and is a predicted model, not a curated record. Lineage: Eukaryota; Metazoa; Chordata; Mammalia; Carnivora; Mustelidae. The transcript is spliced from 3 exons.